RNAcentral lists this unclassified non-coding RNA (316 nucleotides) under plant metagenome. Its description in RNAcentral is "partial contains small subunit ribosomal RNA, internal transcribed spacer 1, and 5.8S ribosomal RNA". The record is from RNAcentral.
UUUCCGUAGGUGAACCUGCGGAAGGAUCAUUAACGAAUAAACCUGGUGGAUUGUCGCUGGCACUCUCGAGGGCAUGUGCACAUUCAUCAUCUUUAUCUUUCCACCUGUGCACAUAUUGUAGAUAUGGAGACCAUCUUUUCCAAGUCUUUAUUGGUUUGGGGUAUGAGGAAAUGUAGGCUCUUUGACCGAGUCAGCUUUCCUUGGAUAGCCAUGUCUAUGUCUUUCAUAUACACCGAUGAAUGUAACAGAAUGUAAUAAAAGGUCAGUGUACCUAUAUAAAACUAUACAACUUUCAGCAACGGAUCUCUUGGCUCUC